RNA transcript from Photinus pyralis (common eastern firefly), 575 nucleotides. RefSeq lists it as uncharacterized. NCBI's taxonomy places the organism in Eukaryota, Metazoa, Arthropoda, Insecta, Coleoptera, Lampyridae. The record is from RefSeq and is a predicted model, not a curated record. The transcript has 3 exons.
AGCUGAAAUCAUAUAAAUACUGAUCCAGUUUUUAUUUAUUGUUAUACUAAUUUCUUUCUUGCAUUUGGACAGAUCAUGAAGCAUCUUAAUAUUUUGUUGGGUGUGGUUGCCCUAUGCGGUGUUACUUCAGAAAGAAAUUAGUAUAACAAUAAAUAAAAUUAAAAAUGACAAAAUAUUAUUAUAUUACGUACAAUUUGUAAUCAGUACCUAAUCGAUAUAAUGUUAGGUCUACAGUGCUACAGUUGCGAAAGCCCAUUCCCAGAAGACCAAUGCCACACUGCAGGUACCAACCAUGCUACGGUUACAUGUGCAUCAGGAGAAAAUUACUGUGUUUCGUUAUACUUCGAGGCCGCUGGUGAAACAUUUGGCGUCAGAGCAUGCAAGACAACCAAUCUUUGCGACCAGAGUGUUACUUUUAAGUCGUGUAAUUCCUGUACCACUGAUUUAUGUAACACGGCGGCCAUAGUAGUUCCUUAGAUUAGAAUAAUGGCAUGUUCUAAUGUUUGAUCCUUUAAUUACACAGUUAAUACCUAUACCUAAUUGCAUGUGAAUGUUGGUAUUAUUUUACAUAUUUA